Molecule: ribosomal RNA, 253 nt
Filed under: uncultured bacterium
Lineage: Bacteria
Description: partial 16S ribosomal RNA
Rfam family: Bacterial small subunit ribosomal RNA
Source: RNAcentral
UACGAAGGGUGCAAACGUUGCUCGGAAUCAUUGGGCGUAAAGCGCACGUAGGCGGCGAUAAAAGUCGGAUGUGAAAGCCCUCGGCUCAACCAAGGAAGUGCAUCCGAAACUGAAUCGCUUGAGUACCAAAGAGGAUCGCGGAAUUCCCGGUGUAGAGGUGAAAUUCGUAGAUAUCGGGAGGAACACCAGUGGCGAAGGCGGCGAUCUGGGUGGAUACUGACGCUGAGGUGCGAAAGCGUGGGGAGCAAACAGG